RNAcentral lists this transfer RNA (30 nucleotides) under Ephedra sinica (Chinese ephedra). Its description in RNAcentral is "partial tRNA-Phe". RNAcentral also lists the same sequence under 1 other name. The record is from RNAcentral. Lineage: Eukaryota; Viridiplantae; Streptophyta; Gnetopsida; Ephedrales; Ephedraceae.
GGCCGGGAUAGCUCAGUUGGUAGAGCAGAG